AGCAUCUCCAUGAGGCUCUCAUCUCUGAGAAAAAUAUGUCUGCAUCUCACAACUGGACUUCAAGACAAAUGGUAUCUAAAAAACAUUGAACAGAAGCGAGACAAACACUCUUGGAUUGCUUGCUCGCCUCAGACAGGGUAGAUUUCCUAUCUAUGAUCACUGCAGAGUGAAGGCAGCAGUGAUAAUGGACUAUGACAAAACAAUAUAACUGUGACAACUGUGAUGUGUCAUCUUAGCAACACCUUGUUUUGCAUAACAGGGAGUGUAAGGUAAGCAAAACGUAUUUAUGAAUACAUAAGUCUAAGUCAUAUGUUAGCUUUUUUUUUUACCCUCAAAGUAUUUGUGAUUGUGAGCCUCAAAACAUGUCUGUAAGUGCGGUACGAUGAGUACAUCUCAUCAACAUAAAUGGUAUGUACUCCAUAAAAUUGACAUAUUUAAUCCAAUUUUUCAAUAUUCAUAAUAUGAUUAAUAUUGUAACUUAUUUGGAUUACAUUGUAGGUCACUAUGACCUGUCUUUGGAGCUGCGUUAAAGGCCACAAAUCAUGGGACACUUGAGCUGCAGGACAUCAAAGAGGAUAUUUGUGACAUUACAAAGUUCAGGUCCAUACAUCACAGAUGAGAAGUGUCAUUUUCCACUCCGGAGGAGGAAGCAUUUAGUUCUAAAUGGUUGUCAUGUGACCUCUGACCUGUUUUGUUGAAAGAAAAGAAAACAUACACCAAAGUGUACUGUACAAGAGUAUUCUGAUUUCAACGUGACAAACAGUGUUAUCACGGGAUAACUAAGUUUGCGACCAAAGAAAACGACUUGUGUGGAGCAUGUCCGUGAACAGCAACCCUGUGUACUGCUCAAAUACACCACCACCACGGCAGAAAACCAUCCUCAUCGGCUCGAUGAGACGCCUGGUGGUGUGGGGAGAUUGAUGAACGGAGAAAGGAGGCAGGGAGAGAUGAGAAAAUGAAGAUGUCUGGGAAAUUCUGCAUUUUUCACAAAAGAGCUGGAAAAUACGACCUGGCUCAGGUUAAAGCGGGAUCAUACUGAAAAAUUACUGAUGGUAUAAUCACACAUGAUGAUAGGAGAACUGAUUAUAGUAGAUCCUUCAAUUAGCUAUACUUCUGAUGUUCUUGUGGUCAACAUAAUUAUAAAUUAUAUAUCGCUGCAUCAUGGUCCUGGAACGCCCCUUGCCUUGCAUGAACAUGCUAAGCUUCAUGAAGCUUCAAGGAUGAGAGGACAGCAAGGCAGGUUAAUGCAGCAGGUCAUUCACGUCGCUAACAUUUGCUGUGAGCACGGAGGCUUCCAUCGAGAACCUGCUGAUAAACCAGGACACCUUGGAAGUCAAAUGGAUUGAGUUCGGGUGUGGUGCGCUCAUGAAGGAGUCUGCCUACGAGACCUUCCUUUGCACAAAAGUAUGCUGUCCACCAGAGUACCAUGUCAAUGGCAAUCCUUCUGUUUGUAAUGGUGUGGGUAUUAUUGCUCUGACCACAACUUGCUUAUGAUCAGUGAAGAUGAAUGAUGAUUCGUGCUUCUCUGCAGCCUGAUCCACAGCAGAGACUUAUUCUGGAAGAGAUGCAGCUCCAUGACUGGAUUGAGGUCAUGGUGUAAGACAAUGGAGAACAACAGAAAACAGCUCCAUAACAGACACCAUUUUGUUUCUGACAUCAGUCAGCUUUGCAUCUUUCCAUCCUAAUGAAAUUCAGUAAUAUUUUGGCUAAAUAGAGAAAAACAGGCAAUAUUGUGUCUAAAAUGUAGGUCACUUAAUAUUAAUUUCUUUUUAAUUAAACUGUUGUAUAAAAUCAAAAUCACAUUUGCAAACGUGCUGAUAUUUGAAAAACCAAAAAAACGUCUUUGUAUGAUUCCUUAACUAUAUCAUAUGAUAUAAAUAUAGCCUUAAAAACAAAUUCUUAAACAGGGGAAUUUUUACAUUGCCAUUUCAAAAUAGUGAAUCAGGCAGUGACGGCGUGCAUUCAAAACACAUGCGCAGUAACCUUUUCAACGGCUCUACGUACUCCUGUAUGCAGGCGUGUUUUUCUGGGGGACAUACUCGAUAAUGUCAGAUCACACAUCAUUAAAACAACAAUUAAGCUAUUAUCGUAGACGAUAUUUAUCACAGACUUUAGGGACUUUGAUAUAUAUAAAAUAUAAGUAUGUGUGGUGAUCAAUGUUUGGAUGUUAUCUGAGAAUAAAGUAUUACAUUUCAAACACUUUAUUAUACUGAGUGAUCCCGUCACUUCAGAAGAAUUAGAACCGCUUGAUCAAAAAUAUCAAAAACCUCAAAGUAUUGACAGCAGUGCCAUCUGCUUGCAAGUAAAUUGCCAACAGAACUAUCAUGUUUUAUAACUAAAGAAUGUUUUUAAACGAGAGAACUUUUUAUUUUUCUAGAAGCAUUUCUUAUAUAAGAAUAUGUAGUAAUUGCUUAUUAAAGUAUACAAGAGUUUACAAAAACACCAACACCAGACAACAAAACAAAACAUUCAAAAAUACCAAAAACACACUAUUCACAGUCCUAGCGACUACAACCUAAAGUAAGUUUUCAAUGUGCAAAGUGAAACGUCCCCUAACUCUUUAAACAAAGAAAAGUGGCUUUAAAGUUUGACCUCAGUGUGGAUUUUGAAAUACCUGCAAUCCAUUUUCCUUGAAUUUCUACACAAAUAUUCCAAACACAUCUGGUACAGAAAUGGCAAAGCUUGUGAUUUCAGUCAUUUUUGACAAAAUGUGUAGUUAUUAGAGUAUUUUGCCUUAGUUGGCCAGUAAGGGUUUCCACAUUUGAUUAUACCAAGUGUGCAGUGCAUAAGGAUAGGUGAUAAGUUAAAAAAUACAUGUUUUGGUCAUUUCAUACCCUUGCCUCAACAGAAGGUGAAGAUGCAAAAUACAGAAAGAAAAGAUAUAUAUCCAGUAAGUGUUUUAAGACUUGAAGUUUAAAAACAAGUGAUUUUAAAACCUCAAAUCACCAAAAGAGAAGUCUUUCAGUGUGUGUGCCUGCCGUCUGAGAGACGGUUCGAGUGAGGCACAUAAGAACUAAAGAUUUUUAUCUAUUUAUUUAUUUUUUGGGGAAACUUAUUGGACUUGAACGGUCAAAAAUUUAUGUGUGUGUGUGUGUGUGUGUGUAUAUAUAUAUAUCUCGGGGGCGUUUCCUCCGAGGAGGCAAGGGAGGCAGUGCCUCCUCAAAAAAAAAUAGGAGAAAUUAGUCCAUAUUACAUGAAAAACAACACAAAUAUUACAAAUUAUGACAUUAAAAAGAGCACAAGUCACUCGUAUUUCUUAAGGAACACUGUCCAACAGCGACACCCGCAGGUAAAGUUACAGCAGGAGUCAUGCCUCCCUUUGCUCUCAUAGAAAACCAUAGAAAAUCAUCAGACCCCCGGUGUGCAGUGGGUUUUGUGGGGGGUAAUUGAGAAUGAAUGGGGGAAAGUCACGUGAGAGGAGGCAAUGUCUCCAUCGCGCUUUGAUUGGAUGUAAUUGGUUAUGAUUGGAUAUGAUUGGUUUGUGCAAUAAAUCCCGCCUCUUGUUGACGUGCACGUUCCGCGCGUCAGUUUGAAUGAACAAAUGAUGGCGUCAAUGGGAAGACUAAGUAAACAGA
This is a long non-coding RNA of Ctenopharyngodon idella (grass carp), 3575 nucleotides long. RefSeq lists it as uncharacterized. The record is from RefSeq and is a predicted model, not a curated record. The transcript is spliced from 5 exons. Lineage: Eukaryota; Metazoa; Chordata; Actinopteri; Cypriniformes; Xenocyprididae.